Molecule: ribosomal RNA, 2937 nt
Filed under: Yersinia kristensenii
Lineage: Bacteria; Pseudomonadati; Pseudomonadota; Gammaproteobacteria; Enterobacterales; Yersiniaceae
Description: bacterial LSU rRNA
Rfam family: Bacterial large subunit ribosomal RNA
Source: RNAcentral
GGGUUGUGAGGUUAAGCGACUAAGCGUACACGGUGGAUGCCUAGGCAGUCAGAGGCGAUGAAGGGCGUGCUAAUCUGCGAAAAGCGUCGGUAAGGUGAUAUGAACCGUUAUAACCGACGAUACCCGAAUGGGGAAACCCAGUGCAAUUCGUUGCACUAUUGCAUGGUGAAUACAUAGCCAUGCAAGGCGAACCGGGGGAACUGAAACAUCUAAGUACCCCGAGGAAAAGAAAUCAACCGAGAUUCCCCCAGUAGCGGCGAGCGAACGGGGAGGAGCCCAGAGUCUGAAUCAGUUUGUGUGUUAGUGGAAGCGUCUGGAAAGUCGCAGGGUACAGGGUGAUACUCCCGUACACAAAAACACACUUGCUGUGAACUCGAUGAGUAGGGCGGGACACGUGACAUCCUGUCUGAAUAUGGGGGGACCAUCCUCCAAGGCUAAAUACUCCUGACUGACCGAUAGUGAACCAGUACCGUGAGGGAAAGGCGAAAAGAACCCCGGCGAGGGGAGUGAAAUAGAACCUGAAACCGUGUACGUACAAGCAGUGGGAGCCUACUUUGUUGGGUGACUGCGUACCUUUUGUAUAAUGGGUCAGCGACUUAUAUUUUGUAGCAAGGUUAACCGAAUAGGGGAGCCGUAGGGAAACCGAGUCUUAACUGGGCGUCUAGUUGCAAGGUAUAGACCCGAAACCCGGUGAUCUAGCCAUGGGCAGGUUGAAGGUUGGGUAACACUAACUGGAGGACCGAACCGACUAAUGUUGAAAAAUUAGCGGAUGACUUGUGGCUGGGGGUGAAAGGCCAAUCAAACCGGGAGAUAGCUGGUUCUCCCCGAAAGCUAUUUAGGUAGCGCCUCGUGAACUCAUCUUCGGGGGUAGAGCACUGUUUCGGCUAGGGGGCCAUCCCGGCUUACCAAACCGAUGCAAACUCCGAAUACCGAAGAAUGUUAUCACGGGAGACACACGGCGGGUGCUAACGUCCGUCGUGAAGAGGGAAACAACCCAGACCGCCAGCUAAGGUCCCAAAGUCAUGGUUAAGUGGGAAACGAUGUGGGAAGGCAUAGACAGCCAGGAUGUUGGCUUAGAAGCAGCCAUCAUUUAAAGAAAGCGUAAUAGCUCACUGGUCGAGUCGGCCUGCGCGGAAGAUGUAACGGGGCUAAACCAUGCACCGAAGCUGCGGCAGCGACGCUUAGGCGUUGUUGGGUAGGGGAGCGUUCUGUAAGCCGUUGAAGGUGACCUGUGAGGGUUGCUGGAGGUAUCAGAAGUGCGAAUGCUGACAUAAGUAACGAUAAUGCGGGUGAAAAACCCGCACGCCGGAAGACCAAGGGUUCCUGUCCAACGUUAAUCGGGGCAGGGUGAGUCGACCCCUAAGGCGAGGCUGAAAAGCGUAGUCGAUGGGAAACAGGUUAAUAUUCCUGUACUUGGUGUUACUGCGAAGGGGGGACGGAGAAGGCUAGGCUAGCCGGGCGACGGUUGUCCCGGUUUAAGCAUGUAGGCGGAGCGACUUGGUAAAUCCGGUUGCUUAUCAACGCUGAGGUGUGAUGACGAGUCACUACGGUGAUGAAGUAGUUGAUGCCAAGCUUCCAGGAAAAGCCUCUAAGCAUCAGGUAACAUUAAAUCGUACCCCAAACCGACACAGGUGGUCAGGUAGAGAAUACUCAGGCGCUUGAGAGAACUCGGGUGAAGGAACUAGGCAAAAUGGUGCCGUAACUUCGGGAGAAGGCACGCUGGCAUUAGGUAAAGGGACUUGCUCCCGGCGCCGAAGCCAGUCGCAGAUACCAGCUGGCUGCAACUGUUUAAUAAAAACACAGCACUGUGCAAACACGAAAGUGGACGUAUACGGUGUGACGCCUGCCCGGUGCUGGAAGGUUAAUUGAUGGGGUCAGCCGCAAGGCGAAGCUCUUGAUCGAAGCCCCAGUAAACGGCGGCCGUAACUAUAACGGUCCUAAGGUAGCGAAAUUCCUUGUCGGGUAAGUUCCGACCUGCACGAAUGGCGUAAUGAUGGCCAGGCUGUCUCCACCCGAGACUCAGUGAAAUUGAACUCGCUGUGAAGAUGCAGUGUACCCGCGGCAAGACGGAAAGACCCCGUGAACCUUUACUAUAGCUUGACACUGAACAUUGAGCCUUGAUGUGUAGGAUAGGUGGGAGGCAUUGAAGUGUGGACGCCAGUCUGCAUGGAGCCAACCUUGAAAUACCACCCUUUAAUGUUUGAUGUUCUAACUCGGCCCCGUAAUCCGGGGUGAGGACAGUGUCUGGUGGGUAGUUUGACUGGGGCGGUCUCCUCCCAAAGAGUAACGGAGGAGCACGAAGGUUAGCUAAUCACGGUCGGACAUCGUGAGGUUAGUGCAAAGGCAUAAGCUAGCUUGACUGCGAGAGUGACGGCUCGAGCAGGUACGAAAGUAGGUCUUAGUGAUCCGGUGGUUCUGAAUGGAAGGGCCAUCGCUCAACGGAUAAAAGGUACUCCGGGGAUAACAGGCUGAUACCGCCCAAGAGUUCAUAUCGACGGCGGUGUUUGGCACCUCGAUGUCGGCUCAUCACAUCCUGGGGCUGAAGUAGGUCCCAAGGGUAUGGCUGUUCGCCAUUUAAAGUGGUACGCGAGCUGGGUUUAGAACGUCGUGAGACAGUUCGGUCCCUAUCUGCCGUGGGCGUUGGAAGAUUGAGAGGGGCUGCUCCUAGUACGAGAGGACCGGAGUGGACGAAUCACUGGUGUUCGGGUUGUCAUGCCAAUGGCAUUGCCCGGUAGCUAAAUUCGGAAGAGAUAACCGCUGAAAGCAUCUAAGCGGGAAACUUGCCUCGAGAUGAGUCUUCCCUGGGGCUUUAAGCCCCCUGAAGGAACGUUAAAGACUAUGACGUUGAUAGGCUGGGUGUGUAAGUGCAGCGAUGCAUUGAGCUAACCAGUACUAAUGAUCCGUGAGGCUUAACCUUACAACACCAAAGGUGUUUUG